CAAAUUUAAAAUCUACCUGGUUUCCAGGUCGAGUUGUAAUUUGAAGAUACGUUUUUGACGUUCCGGGUUGAACUAAAUCCUUUGGGAUAAGGUAUCAUGGAGGGUGAGAAUCCCGUAUAUACCAACCRUAGGGAUGUUAUUUAAUACSUUUCUAAGARUCSAGUUGUUUGGGAAUGCAGCUCUAAAUGGGUGGUAAAUUUCACCUAAUGCUAAAUAUAAGCGAGAGACCGAUAGSGAACAAGUACAGUGAUGGAAAGAUGAAAAGAACUUUGAAAAGAGAGUUAAAUAGUAYGUGAAAUUGUUGAAAGGGAAACGAUUGAAGUCGGUCGUGCCRGUGGGAAUCAACUUWGAGGAAACUCUGAGUGCACUUYUUCSCUUGGCAGGUCAACGUYSAUUUUGGAUGUCAUAAAAUGAUUGGGGGAAGGUAGCYYYYUYGGGAGUGUUAUAGCCCUUGGUAGAUGUGAUGUCUGGGAUCGAGGAUUGCAAUGGAUACCCUUUGGGGCUAGYCGCCUGAUCUCUAAUYGGUAUUGGGUUACGGAUAGCAUGCUGACCGUGAUCUAAUUAUUGGUUAAAAGGUUAG
This 580-nucleotide ribosomal RNA is filed under the name Glomeromycotina sp. RNAcentral describes it as "partial 28S ribosomal RNA". It matches the Rfam family "Eukaryotic large subunit ribosomal RNA", at positions 110 to 629 of the family's 3401-position model. The record is from RNAcentral. Lineage: Eukaryota; Fungi; Glomeromycota.